CUCGUAGGCGGUUUGGUACGGCGGUGGUGAAAGCUCCUGGCUUAACUGGGAGAGGCCCGCCGCAACGGCUAAACUCGAGGGUAGUAGAGGCAGAUGGAAUUCCUGGUGUAGCGGUGAAAUGCGUAGAUAUCAGGAGGAACACCCGUGGCGAAGGCGGUCUGCUGGGCUAUACCUGACGCUGAGGAGCGAAAGCCAGGGGAGUGAACG
RNAcentral lists this ribosomal RNA (207 nucleotides) under uncultured bacterium. RNAcentral's name for it is "partial 16S ribosomal RNA". It matches the Rfam family "Bacterial small subunit ribosomal RNA", at positions 568 to 774 of the family's 1533-position model. The record is from RNAcentral.